This 371-nucleotide ribosomal RNA is filed under the name uncultured bacterium. RNAcentral's name for it is "bacterial SSU rRNA". It matches the Rfam family "Bacterial small subunit ribosomal RNA", at positions 1 to 334 of the family's 1533-position model. The record is from RNAcentral.
CUAUGCGCCUUGCCAGCCCGCUCAGUCAGAGUUUGAUCCUGGCUCAGGACGAACGCUGGCGGCGUGCUUAACACAUGCAAGUCGAACGGGCCUUGCUUCUUUUUUGGGGUGGGGUUAGUGGCGAACGGGUGAGUAACACGUGAGUAACCUGCCCCUCACUUCUGGAUAACCGCUUGAAAGGGUGGCUAAUACGGGGUGUUCUGGCCUGCUCGCAUGGGUGGGUUUGGAAAGAUUCGACCGGUUUUGGUUGUUUUGGUGGGGGAUGGGCUCGCGGCCUAUCAGCUUGUUGGUGGGGUGAUGCCUGCCAAGGCUUUGACGGGUAGCCGGCCUGAGAGGGUGAGCGGUCACACUGGGACUGAGACACGGCCCAG